GAUGAACGCUGGCGGCGUGCCUAAUACAUGCAAGUCGAGCGAACGGACGAGAAGCUUGCUUCUCUGAUGUUAGCGGCGGACGGGUGAGUAACACGUGGAUAACCUACCUAUAAGACUGGGAUAACUUCGGGAAACCGGAGCUAAUACCGGAUGAUAUUUUGAACCGCAUGGUUCAAAAGUGAAAGACGGUCUUGCUGUCACUUAUAGAUGGAUCCGCGCUGCAUUAGCUAGUUGGUAAGGUAACGGCUUACCAAGGCAACGAUGCAUAGCCGACCUGAGAGGGUGAUCGGCCACACUGGAACUGAGACACGGUCCAGACUCCUACGGGAGGCAGCAGUAGGGAAUCUUCCGCAAUGGGCGAAAGCCUGACUGAGCAACGCCGCGUGAGUGAUGAAGGUCUUCGGAUCGUAAAACUCUGUUAUUAGGGAAGAACAUAUGUGUAAGUAACUGUGCACAUCUUGACGGUACCUAAUCAGAAAGCCACGGCUAACUACGUG
This 497-nucleotide ribosomal RNA is filed under the name uncultured bacterium. Its description in RNAcentral is "partial 16S ribosomal RNA". It matches the Rfam family "Bacterial small subunit ribosomal RNA", at positions 28 to 507 of the family's 1533-position model. The record is from RNAcentral.